Molecule: ribosomal RNA, 460 nt
Filed under: uncultured bacterium
Lineage: Bacteria
Description: partial 16S ribosomal RNA
Rfam family: Bacterial small subunit ribosomal RNA
Source: RNAcentral
CCUACGGGAGGCAGCAGUGAGGAAUAUUGGUCAAUGGACGAGAGUCUGAACCAGCCAAGUAGCGUGAAGGAUGACUGCUCCAUGGGUUGUAAACUUCUUUUAUAAAGGAAUAAAACGAGGCACGUGUGCCUUUUUGCAAGUACUUUAUGAAUAAGGAUCGGCUAACUCCGUGCCAGCAGCCGCGGUAAUACGGAGGAUCCGAGCGUUAUCCGGAUUUAUUGGGUUUAAAGGGAGCGUAGAUGGGUUGUUAAGUUAGUUGUGAAAGUUUGCGGCUCAACCUUAAAAUUGCAAUUGAUACUGGCCGUCUAGAGAACAGUUGAGGUAAGCGGAAUGCGUGGUGUAGCGGUGAAAUGCUUAGAGAUCACGAAGAACCCCGAUUGCGAAGGCAGCUUACUAAACUGUGACUGACAUUGAUGCUCGAAAGUGUGGGUAUCAAACAGGAUUAGAUACCCCUGUAGUC